This is a non-coding RNA of Gossypium raimondii (Peruvian cotton), 145 nucleotides long. Lineage: Eukaryota; Viridiplantae; Streptophyta; Magnoliopsida; Malvales; Malvaceae. The record is from Rfam.
UAUUAUAAACUUCAUCCAUUUGUACUGUUAAAAGCUAGCGUAGUUGAUGGAAUAACCAGACAUUAACACGUGGUAUGCCAAGUGUACCUCAUGCUAACAAACAAAGACAAGUUUUUAAAAGUAAAAAUGGAUGAAACUUUUAAUA